UCUCCCAACCCUUGUACCAGUGUGUGUCUCAGACCCUGGUACAGGUACGGGGAGGCA
Molecule: microRNA precursor, 57 nt
Filed under: Bos taurus (domestic cattle)
Lineage: Eukaryota; Metazoa; Chordata; Mammalia; Artiodactyla; Bovidae
Description: Bta-Mir-150_pre stem-loop
Rfam family: mir-150 microRNA precursor family
Source: RNAcentral